RNAcentral lists this ribosomal RNA (253 nucleotides) under uncultured bacterium. RNAcentral describes it as "partial 16S ribosomal RNA". It matches the Rfam family "Bacterial small subunit ribosomal RNA", at positions 524 to 776 of the family's 1533-position model. The record is from RNAcentral.
UACGUAGGGUGCGAGCGUUAAUCGGAAUUACUGGGCGUAAAGCGUGCGCAGGCGGCGCGUUAAGACAGGUGUGAAAGCCCCGAGCUUAACUUGGGAAUUGCGCUUGUGACUGGCGAGCUGGAGUGUGGCAGAGGGAGGUGGAAUUCCACGUGUAGCAGUGAAAUGCGUAGAGAUGUGGAGGAACACCGAUGGCAAAGGCAGCCUCCUGGGCCAGCACUGACGCUCAUGCACGAAAGCGUGGGGAGCAAACAGG